Molecule: ribosomal RNA, 460 nt
Filed under: uncultured bacterium
Lineage: Bacteria
Description: partial 16S ribosomal RNA
Rfam family: Bacterial small subunit ribosomal RNA
Source: RNAcentral
CCUACGGGAGGCAGCAGUGAGGAAUAUUGGUCAAUGGACGAGAGUCUGAACCAGCCAAGUAGCGUGAAGGAUGACUGCCCUAUGGGUUGUAAACUUCUUUUAUAUGGGAAUAAAAUGUUCCACGUGUGGGAUUUUGUACGUACCAUAUGAAUAAGGAUCGACUAACUCCGUGCCAGCAGCCGCGGUAAUACGGAGGAUCCGAGCGUUAUCCGGAUUUAUUGGGUUUAAAGGGAGCGUAGGUGGAUUGUUAAGUCAGUUGUGAAAGUUUGCGGCUCAACCGUAAGAUUGCAGUUGAAACUGGCAGUCUUGAGUACAGUAGAGGUGAGCGGAAGUCGUGGUGUAGCGGUGAAAUGCUUAGAUAUCACGAAGAACUCCGAUGGCGAAGGCAGCUCACUGGACUGCAACUGACACUGAGGCUCGAAAGUGUGGGGAUCAAACAGGAUUAGAUACCCGUGUAGUC